UUCCGGAACAUCAUUUUAUGAACUCGGUUAUCUUAUUGUAGGAAGUGACAAGAUGGCGAAUGUUUAUGUAUAGUAGAAGUGUAGAGUUUCGAAGAAACACCAGCGCAGAUUUGGACAAGUUAAAUAUUCUUUAACAGCAUGGACGAUAUCACGGGCAGUUUGAUUAUAUGGUUGAAAACAUUUAAAGUGAAAGCUCCCCAUGAAACAGUUGAAGAACUUUCAAAUGGCGUGGCCAUGGCAGAAGUCUUAGCUCAGAUUGCACCUGACUAUUUUCAUCCUGCUUGGAUAUCCAAAAUAAAAACAGAUACAGGAAACAAUUGGAGAUUAAAGGUCAGCAAUUUGAAGAAAAUUUUGAAAGGUGUACUGGAUUAUUAUAGUGAGGUGUUGGGUCAACAAAUAACAGGCUUCCGCAUGCCAGAUGUAAAUGCUGUUGCAGAAUUAAGUGACCCUAAGGAUUUGGGACGUUUAUUACAAUUAAUUCUAGGUUGUGCAGUUAAUUGCGAUAAAAAACAAGAAUAUAUUGAAACUAUAAUGGGAUUGGAAGAAAGUGUUCAGCAUGUUGUAAUGAAUGCUAUUCAGGAGUUAAUGACUAAAGAAAUUCCUAGUACUUACUCAGCUGAAUCUAUUGCUGAUCUCAAUGAACAUUUAAAACGAGUAUUAGAAGAGUUACAGAUAGCCACAGAAGCUAAACAGCAAAUUACUCAGAGAUGUCAUGAGUUAGACAUGCAGGUUGCUAUAUUGCAAGAAGAAAAGGCUAGUUUACUUGCAGAAAAUGACAAAUUAUUAGAAAGAUUAAACCAUAUUGAAAGUUUAGAAGACCCAAGCACUUUAACAGGAAAAAGAUUUCAACAGAUGCAACAUAAAUUAGAAGUGAUGCAAGAUGAAUUAUAUAAGUUAGAAACAGCAAGAGAUGAAUAUAAAAUGAAAUCAGAAUUACAAGAGAAAGAAAUUCUUGAACUUAGUCAAAAGAAUGAUGAUUUGCAGAAACUAGCUGAAGAAGCUCGAAUUUUGAAAGAUGAAUUAGAUGUACUAAGGCAUACAUCUGAUAAAGUUGAAAAAUAUGAAACAACAAUUGAGUCUUUCAAGAAAAAAUUAGAGGAUUUAAGUGAUCUUAAACGUCAGGUAAAACUUCUGGAAGACAAAAAUACAUCUUAUGUACAACAGAACAUGGAAUUAGAAGAGGAGGUCAAAAGAGCUGGAAUGCUGAAAUCUCAGAUUGACAUGUACAAAAAACAACUUCAAGAACUCCAUUCAAAAUUUUCUGAAGAAAGUAGGAAAGCUGAUAAAGCAGAUUUUGAAAAUAAGAGACUUUCAGAAAAACUUGUAUCUAUACAACAAGAAAAGGAUAGAUUGAUUGCUGAGAGGGAUUCAUUGAAAGAAACAAUCGAAGAUCUUCGAUGCACACAAUUUAAAAAUGAAAGUGAAAUGCAUGGUGAUAAAAAUGGAAAACCAUCUAGUUUAUUAUCAGAAGCAGAACUUUUAGAAUCUGUUCCUCCAGAAAUUAAAGAAAAAUUAAUUCGUCUUCAACAUGAAAAUAAAAUUUUAAAACUUAAAUUGGAUAGCAAUGAUGAUCAGCAAGUUGCAGUUUUACAAAGUAUGUUGGAUGACUCAAGACUGAGGCAAAGUGAAUUGGAAACAGAAAACAGAUUAGCAAAUCAGAAGAUUUUAGAAUAUCAGAGUCAAAUUCAAGAUUUACAAGAAUCUCAUUCAGCUGUUAGUAGCCAAGAAGGGACGGAACUACGACACAAAUUGAAUAAUACAAUUAGAAAAUUGAAAGAAACAGAAAUGGAAUUACAAAAGAAAAAUAUCACUAUUGAAACAUUACAAAAUCAAAUUGAUAGUGCAGUUCAAAAAACUCAUCAGCUUCAAGAAUCUCUCAAUAAAAAAGAGGAAGAAAUGAGAGCAAUGGAAGAACGUUACAGAAAAUACUUGGAAAAAGCCAAAAAUGUAAUUAAGACUUUGGAUCCAAAAAAAAAUACAACUAGUGGUUCCGAAGUGAUUGCAUUAAAGAAUCAAUUGUUAGAAAAAGAGAAAGUUAUAGCAAAUCUAGAGAAAGAAGCAGAAAUGGCAAGAACAAUGAGAGAAAUGGAGGAAAGAUUAAUAACCACUGCAUUCUAUAAUUUGGGAGCUAACAAACAAAGAAAAGCAGCUGAAGAGCGACUAAUGCAAAAUACAUCAAGUCAGACCUUCUUAUCAAGACAAAGGCAAGCUACCUCUAGACGAUUAAAUUUACCUGGUGUUGCCACUAGUGAAUUCUUGGACUACUAACUUGCAUGCUGACAUCAGCAGUCAUUUUAUGUGAAGUGUUUAAAUGCCUGUGCAUGCCAUUAAAUUCUUCCUAAUCAUUCUUUGGUUGUCAGUAAAUAUUUUGUUAAUCUGGAACCGUUAUCGAUGAAUUUUCCGCAGUCUUCCUUUGAAGAAGCUGUAAAUAGUUUAAGGGGGAGUACAGAAUAUUUUGUAUACUAAUUGUGGGUAUACGCCAUUUUUUCUGCUUAUAAUGCUUGUAAAAUAUGUUUAUGCCCUGUAUGUAUAUACAGCAUAUUUUAUUUCUGUGGUGUAUACUUUGUUUAUAAAUCACUGUAACAAAGUCUCAAUAAAAUGAAGCAUAGGUUACUUUUUA
Molecule: unclassified non-coding RNA, 2620 nt
Filed under: Centruroides sculpturatus (bark scorpion)
Lineage: Eukaryota; Metazoa; Arthropoda; Arachnida; Scorpiones; Buthidae
Description: protein Hook homolog 3-like, transcript variant X1
Source: RNAcentral